AAGUCGAGCGAACGGACGAGAAGCUUGCUUCUCUGAUGUUAGCGGCGAACGGGUGAGUAACACGUGGAUAACCUACCUAUAAGACUGGGAUAACUUCGGGAAACCGGAGCUAAUACCGGAUAAUAUUUUGAACCGCAUGGUUCAAAAGUGAAAGACGGUCUUGCUGUCACUUAUAGAUGGAUCCGCGCUGCAUUAGCUAGUUGGUAAGGUAACGGCUUACCAAGGCAACGAUGCAUAGCCGACCUGAGAGGGUGAUCGGCCACACUGGAACUGAGACACGGUCCAGACUCCUACGGGAGGCAGCAGUAGGGAAUCUUCCGCAAUGGGCGAAAGCCUGACGGAGCAACGCCGCGUGAGUGAUGAAGGUCUUCGGAUCGUAAAACUCUGUUAUUAGGGAAGAACAUAUGUGUAAGUAACUGUGCACAUCUUGACGGUACCUAAUCAGAAAGCCACGGCUAACUACGUGCCAGCAGCCGCGGUAAUACGUAGGUGGCAAGCGUUAUCCGGAAUUAUUGGGCGUAAAGCGCGCGUAGGCGGUUUUUUAAGUCUGAUGUGAAAGCCCACGGCUCAACUGUGGAGGGUCAUUGGAAACUGGAAAACUUGAGUGCAGAAGAGGAAAGUGGAAUUCCAUGUGUAGCGGUGA
RNAcentral lists this ribosomal RNA (643 nucleotides) under uncultured Staphylococcus sp. Its description in RNAcentral is "bacterial SSU rRNA". It matches the Rfam family "Bacterial small subunit ribosomal RNA", at positions 59 to 684 of the family's 1533-position model. The record is from RNAcentral. Lineage: Bacteria; Bacillati; Bacillota; Bacilli; Caryophanales; Staphylococcaceae.